RNAcentral lists this transfer RNA (87 nucleotides) under Lysobacter sp. HDW10. Its description in RNAcentral is "tRNA-Leu". It matches the Rfam family "tRNA". From Rfam's summary of the family: Transfer RNA (tRNA) molecules are approximately 80 nucleotides in length. Their secondary structure includes four short double-helical elements and three loops (D, anti-codon, and T loops). RNAcentral also lists the same sequence under 1 other name. The record is from RNAcentral. Lineage: Bacteria; Pseudomonadati; Pseudomonadota; Gammaproteobacteria; Lysobacterales; Lysobacteraceae.
GCUCGGAUGGCGAAAUUGGUAGACGCAACGGACUUAAAAUCCGUCUCCCGCAAGGGAAUGUGGGUUCGAUUCCCACUCCGAGCACCA